UACAGAGGUCCCAAGCGUUGUUCGGAUUCACUGGGCGUAAAGGGUGCGUAGGCGGUCAGGUAAGUCUGAUGUGAAAUCUCUGGGCUUAACCCAGAAAUGGCAUUGGAUACUAUUUGGCUUGAGAGUUGGAGGGGGGACUGGAAUUCUUGGUGUAGCAGUGAAAUGCGUAGAUAUCAAGAGGAACACCAGUGGCGAAGGCGAGUCCCUGGACAACUUCUGACGCUGAGGCACGAAAGCCAGGGGAGCAAACGGG
This 253-nucleotide ribosomal RNA is filed under the name uncultured bacterium. Its description in RNAcentral is "partial 16S ribosomal RNA". It matches the Rfam family "Bacterial small subunit ribosomal RNA", at positions 524 to 776 of the family's 1533-position model. The record is from RNAcentral.